Molecule: transfer RNA, 58 nt
Filed under: Salmo salar (Atlantic salmon)
Lineage: Eukaryota; Metazoa; Chordata; Actinopteri; Salmoniformes; Salmonidae
Also listed under: 1 other name
Rfam family: tRNA
About the family: Transfer RNA (tRNA) molecules are approximately 80 nucleotides in length. Their secondary structure includes four short double-helical elements and three loops (D, anti-codon, and T loops).
Source: Rfam by way of RNAcentral
UAGCUCAGUUGGUAAAGCAUGGCGCUUGCAAUGCCAGGGUUGUGGGUUCGAUUCCCAC